GUGUCAGCAGCCGCGGUAAUACGAAGGGUGCAAGCGUUACUCGGAAUUACUGGGCGUAAAGCGUGCGUAGGCGGUUUGUUAAGUCAGAUGUGAAAUCCCCGGGCUCAACCUGGGAAUGGCAUUUGAUACUGGCGAGCUAGAGUACGGUAGAGGGUGGUGGAAUUCCCGGUGUAGCGGUGAAAUGCGUAGAGAUCGGGAGGAACAUCUGUGGCGAAGGCGGCCACCUGGACCAGUACUGACGCUGAGGCACGAAAGCGUGGGGAGCAAACAGGAUUAGAAACCCCGGUAGUCC
RNAcentral lists this ribosomal RNA (292 nucleotides) under uncultured bacterium. RNAcentral's name for it is "partial 16S ribosomal RNA". It matches the Rfam family "Bacterial small subunit ribosomal RNA", at positions 505 to 796 of the family's 1533-position model. The record is from RNAcentral.